GGUCUUGUGUAGACACGAUCAAGUAGAGAUAGACGUAGGAGCGGCCGCGCCGUGUGUUGAGGGUAGGGGGUGAAGUUUGGUAAAACAAAGAAUGGCUACACUCAGUGGGGCCUAAACACCACACGGUCGGUGCCGCCGCGGGCCGCAACUGAUGAGGCUCGCCGGUCGCGCCGGCGUGUUGAGACGAAGGAGCGCGACCUCAAUCACAACACGACGGUGGCGGCCGCUGCUCCGCCUGUUCGAAAACCCACGACGUUAGUCAACGCGGGAAGCUGCCGCCUCAACGUAGGCACGCGCAGCUUCGACCUUUGCCGCAAAAACCCUCGACGUUCACGUCCAGCCGCCGGCACUGUUCGGUCUCCCACCACUGCACUACCCGCCGCUAGAGCGUGCCGAACCGCCUGUUGCUACCGGUAGCAAAAAAUGGCCCUCCUGCGCUGUGGUCGCCCCUGCGCUGGACACGGCCCCUAUCUUGCUCGCAACUGGUCUAGACUGCCAACUCCCUUCUAAUUAAGCUGCCGAGCGCGAACUGGCCGGCUUGAUAACCCGGCCACGUGGCCGUGGAUAGUCAGGGGAAAAUUGUUUGUGUAUAAAAUAAAACUCUAGACCCCGAGUAAAUCAACACUGCAUGCGUGGUUAAAAUAAAAUAAAACCUCUGUAAUAGGGUGUAGUCGUUUCUUUAUUCGAGUG
This 690-nucleotide ribosomal RNA is filed under the name Triticum aestivum (bread wheat). Its description in RNAcentral is "partial small subunit ribosomal RNA". The record is from RNAcentral. Lineage: Eukaryota; Viridiplantae; Streptophyta; Magnoliopsida; Poales; Poaceae.